GACGAACGCUGGCGGCGUGCUUAACACAUGCAAGUCGAACGGUGAAGCGCCUUCCUUUUUGGUGGGUGUGGAUGAGUGGCGAACGGGUGAGUAACACGUGAGUAACCUGCCCCCUUCUUCUGGAUAACCGCAUGAAAGUGUGGCUAAUACGGGAUAUUCUGGGUCUGUCGCAUGAUGGGUCUGGGAAAGAUAUUGUUUCGGUGGGGGAUGGGCUCGCGGCCUAUCAGCUUGUUGGUGGGGUGAUGGCCUACCAAGGCGGUGACGGGUAGCCGGCCUGAGAGGGUGGAGGGUCACACUGGGACUGAGACACGGCCCAGACUCCUACGGGAGGCAGAAGUGGGGAAUAGUGGACAAUGGGCGCAAGCCUGAUGCAGCGACGCCGCGUGAGGGAUGGAGGCCUUCGGGUUGUGAACCUCUUUCGCCAGUGAAGCAGGCCUGCCUCGUUUGUGGGUGGGUUGACGGUAGCUGGAUAAGAAGCGCCGGCUAACUACGUG
This 494-nucleotide ribosomal RNA is filed under the name uncultured bacterium. RNAcentral's name for it is "partial 16S ribosomal RNA". It matches the Rfam family "Bacterial small subunit ribosomal RNA", at positions 28 to 507 of the family's 1533-position model. The record is from RNAcentral.